AGGCGCCCCUGGAGGUCCCCGGGGACAGGGUCGGGGACGCAUGGGCCGGGUGUGUGCCCCUGUGCCCUGGGUUCUUUCCGCCCCCGAGGGAGGCAGCCUGACAGGGGGCAGGAGGGCCGUGGGCCGGGGAAGAGCAGCCGGAGAGACGCAGCCCAAGUUCAUUAGGAGUUGGGCUUGUGUACCCUGCCCGGCACCCCGCACCCCGCUCGGCUCUGGGUCCUCAAGGGCCCCGACAAGCAGAUUAGAUGAGGAACUGAAAAGGAGAAAGGUGAUUUGCCAAAGGUCACAGAAGCAGAGAUCGAAGCCAGACUCCCCCAAGUGUGUCCCCGCCUCACUGCGUGCUCUUCACAAAGCCACAGGCCUCGGCAAGAUCCUUCAAGUUGGAAUAAGGAGACACGGGCCGGAGGAGCGGAAGAUGUAGAAAUGGACCCUGGAGGGUGAGAAGUUGCUGCCUGAGCCAGAGAGGCGGGAAAGGUCGUAACACUGGAGGGACCCGCGAGUGAAAGCACUAGGGAGAGUCCUCGAGUAGUGACGAAGCAUCCCCUGACUGCAGUCUAAUGAAGAUUUCGCUUCCUGAAAUUCUGCUGUGACUCUUUGUCUGCUCAAGAGCCCCUGUGGCCUUCCUUUGCCUUCGGGAACUCGGAGCUGACCCCGAACUCUCCUAUUUCUCUCUCUUUACUCCAGGUCUUUCCCCAACACAAACACAGCACCUGUGGUGGCCCGGGGGUAGCCCACCGCCCUCCCCCCUCCCCCAGGGGGCCUAUUUGCAGCGUCCAUUUACCCUUCCUGUGGCUUUUAGAGGUGGAACUAAACUGACAAUUUCAAGUUUCCUUGAUUUUUUUUUUUUUUUUUUGCAACAUAUCCAUCACCUCACUAUGGUAAUACUGGUUACCGGUUAGUAGUAGUUCAAUAGUUCAGUCCCUAAAUAUCUGUGAUCCACAAAGAUGGGGAAACAAUGAUUUCCUCAAUAAAUGCCAAGGGUGGGAGACUGUGGAUGAGAACUUCUCAAAACACGCAUUCAGAUUCUGGAAGCAUUCAGAUUCUGGAAGCAUUCAGAUUCUGGAAGCCGUGUUUGG
Long non-coding RNA from Canis lupus familiaris (dog), 1076 nucleotides. RefSeq lists it as uncharacterized. The record is from RefSeq and is a predicted model, not a curated record. NCBI's taxonomy places the organism in Eukaryota, Metazoa, Chordata, Mammalia, Carnivora, Canidae. The transcript has 5 exons.